UACGGAGGGUGCGAGCGUUGUCCGGAAUCACUGGGCGUAAAGGGCGCGUAGGUGGUCUGGUAAGCGUGCGGUGAAAUCGCGGGGCCCAACCCCGCGCCGGCCGUGCGAACUGCUGGACUGGAGCACUGUAGAGGCGGGUGGAAUUCCGGGUGUAGCGGUGGAAUGCGUAGAGAUCCGGAAGAACACCGGUGGCGAAGGCGGCCCGCUGGGCAGUGGCUGACACUGAGGCGCGACAGCGUGGGGAGCAAACAGG
This 253-nucleotide ribosomal RNA is filed under the name uncultured bacterium. RNAcentral's name for it is "partial 16S ribosomal RNA". It matches the Rfam family "Bacterial small subunit ribosomal RNA", at positions 524 to 776 of the family's 1533-position model. The record is from RNAcentral.